AGAUUGAACGCUGGCGGCAUGCCUAACACAUGCAAGUCGAACGGGAGUAGCAAUACUCUAGUGGCGGACGGGUGAGGAAUACGUAGGAAUUUGCCCUUAAGUGGGGGAUAACCCGGGGAAACCCGGAUUAAUACCGCAUGACCUCGAAAGAGCAAAGUGGGGGAUCGCAAGACCUCACGCUUUUGGAGAAGCCUACGUCGGAUUAGCUAGUUGGUGAGGUAAUGGCUCACCAAGG
RNAcentral lists this ribosomal RNA (235 nucleotides) under uncultured soil bacterium. RNAcentral's name for it is "partial 16S ribosomal RNA". It matches the Rfam family "Bacterial small subunit ribosomal RNA", at positions 26 to 273 of the family's 1533-position model. The record is from RNAcentral.